CAGUCGCCGCGGUAAUACGAAGGGUGCUAGCGUUAAUCGGAAUUACUGGGCGUAAAGCGUGCGUAGGCGGUGAGUUAAGUCUGCUGUGAAAUCCCCGGGCUCAACCUGGGAAUGGCAGUGGAUACUGGCUCGCUAGAGUGUGUCAGAGGAUGGUGGAAUUCCCGGUGUAGCGGUGAAAUGCGUAGAUAUGCGGAGGAACACCGAUGGCGAAGGCAAUCCCCUGGACCUGUACUGACACUCAUGCACGAAAGCGUGGGGAGCAAACAGGAUUAGAUACCCGAGUAGUCCCUGUCUCUUAUAA
This 301-nucleotide ribosomal RNA is filed under the name uncultured bacterium. Its description in RNAcentral is "partial 16S ribosomal RNA". It matches the Rfam family "Bacterial small subunit ribosomal RNA", at positions 509 to 809 of the family's 1533-position model. The record is from RNAcentral.